Molecule: ribosomal RNA, 488 nt
Filed under: uncultured bacterium
Lineage: Bacteria
Description: partial 16S ribosomal RNA
Rfam family: Bacterial small subunit ribosomal RNA
Source: RNAcentral
GACGAACGCUGGCGGCGUGCUUAACACAUGCAAGUCGAACGGAAAGGCCCUGCUUUUGUGGGGUGCUCGAGUGGCGAACGGGUGAGUAACACGUGAGUAACCUGCCCUUGACUUUGGGAUAACUUCAGGAAACUGGGGCUAAUACCGGAUAGGAGCUCCUGCUGCAUGGUGGGGGUUGGAAAGUUUCGGCGGUUGGGGAUGGACUCGCGGCUUAUCAGCUUGUUGGUGGGGUAGUGGCUUACCAAGGCUUUGAUGGGUAGCCGGCCUGAGAGGGUGACCGGGCACACUGGACGGGAGAGAAGGGCCAGAGGCCUACGGGAGGCAGCAGUGGGGAAUAGUGGGCAAUGGGGGGGAGCCUGAGCCAGCGAGGUCGGGUGUGUGAAGAAGGUCUUCGGAUGGUAAAGGACGGUAAGUGGGGAGGAAGGGCAGUAAGUUAAUACCUUGCUGUUUUGACGUGACCAACAGAAUAAGCAACGGCUAACUUCGUG